This is a non-coding RNA of Echria macrotheca, 101 nucleotides long. NCBI's taxonomy places the organism in Eukaryota, Fungi, Ascomycota, Sordariomycetes, Sordariales, Schizotheciaceae. The record is from the annotation of a GenBank genome assembly.
UCCUCCAUGGCGCAAUUGGCUAGCGCGUCAGACUGUUAUGGUAACAUCUCGGAUGUUCCAACGCAAUCUGGAGGCUGUAAGUUCGACCCUUACUGGAGGAG